RNAcentral lists this ribosomal RNA (492 nucleotides) under uncultured bacterium. RNAcentral's name for it is "partial 16S ribosomal RNA". It matches the Rfam family "Bacterial small subunit ribosomal RNA", at positions 29 to 507 of the family's 1533-position model. The record is from RNAcentral.
AGUGAACGCUGGCGGUAGGCCUAACACAUGCAAGUCGAACGGCAGCACAGUAAGAGCUUGCUCUUACGGGUGGCGAGUGGCGGACGGGUGAGGAAUACAUCGGAAUCUACUUUUUCGUGGGGGAUAACGUAGGGAAACUUACGCUAAUACCGCAUACGACCUACGGGUGAAAGCAGGGGAUCUUCGGACCUUGCGCGAUUGAAUGAGCCGAUGUCGGAUUAGCUAGUUGGCGGGGUAAAGGCCCACCAAGGCGACGAUCCGUAGCUGGUCUGAGAGGAUGAUCAGCCACACUGGAACUGAGACACGGUCCAGAAUCCUACGGGAGGAAGCAGUGGGGAAUAUUGGACAAUGGGCGCAAGCCUGAUCCAGCCAUACCGCGUGGGUGAAGAAGGCCUUCGGGUUGUAAAGCCCUUUUGUUGGGAAAGAAAAGCAGCAGGUUAAUACCCCGCUGUUCUGACGGUACCCAAAGAAUAAGCACCGGCUAACUUCGUG